Long non-coding RNA from Mugil cephalus (flathead mullet), 219 nucleotides. RefSeq lists it as uncharacterized. NCBI's taxonomy places the organism in Eukaryota, Metazoa, Chordata, Actinopteri, Mugiliformes, Mugilidae. The record is from RefSeq and is a predicted model, not a curated record. The transcript has 3 exons.
AGAUUCUUCUCAUUUGUUGAGAUCCAUCAUCGUGUCUGUGGGUUUAGCAGCACUCUUGAUAUCUGUUGUUACAGUCAACAUGUGGAUUAAAACUAAAGGGAACAAGACACAGAUGGAAGAAAACACUGUGCAGAAUGAUGGAGGUGAAGGUGAAGGUUCAGUGAUCUAUGAAAACUCUGGAGACCCUUCUGCUUCAGUCAGACUCCACUGAUCAACAAC